RNAcentral lists this ribosomal RNA (463 nucleotides) under uncultured bacterium. RNAcentral's name for it is "bacterial SSU rRNA". It matches the Rfam family "Bacterial small subunit ribosomal RNA", at positions 33 to 507 of the family's 1533-position model. The record is from RNAcentral.
GACGACGCUGGCGGCGUGCUUAAAACAUGCAAGUCGAACGGACUUCUCAUGAAGCUUGCGAUUGAGAGUUAGUGGCGGACGGGUGAGUAACGCGUGGGCAACCUGCCCCUGAGCCCGGGAUAACAGUUCGAAAGGACUGCUAAGACCGGAUAUACUUGCGGGGAAGCAUUUCUCUGUAAGGAAAGGGAACGCUCAGGGAUGGGCCCGCGUCCCAUUAGCUAGUUGGUGAGGUAACGGCCCACCAAGGCGACGAUGGGUAGCCGGCCUGAGAGGGUGAACGGCCACACUGGGACUGAGACACGGCCCAGACUCCUACGGGAGGCAGCAGUUGGGAAUCUUCGGCAAUGGGCGCAAGCCUGACCGAGCAACGCCGCGUGAGUGAUGAAGGUUUUCGGAUUGUAAAGCUCUGUCUUCCGGGACGAUAAUGACGGUACCGGAGGAGGAAGCCACGGCUAACUACGUG